This 243-nucleotide ribosomal RNA is filed under the name uncultured bacterium. Its description in RNAcentral is "partial 16S ribosomal RNA". It matches the Rfam family "Bacterial small subunit ribosomal RNA", at positions 92 to 334 of the family's 1533-position model. The record is from RNAcentral.
CGACCGGCGCACGGGUGAGUAACACGUAUCCAACCUGCCGUCUACUCUUGGCCAGCCUUCUGAAAGGAAGAUUAAUCCAGGAUGGCAUCAUGAGUUCACAUGUCCGCAUGAUUAAAGGUAUUUUCCGGUAGACGAUGGGGAUGCGUUCCAUUAGUUUGUUGGGGGGUAACGGCCCACCAAGACUACGAUGGAUAGGGGUUCUGAGAGGAAGGUCCCCCACAUUGGAACUGAGACACGGUCCAA